GUCGAACGAGGGUCCUUCGGGACUCGAGUGGCGAACGGGUGAGUAACACGUAGGGAACCUGCCCGUGCGACCGGGAGAACUUUCGGAAACGGAAGCUGAUACCGGAUAGGGACAGAGACGGCAUCGACUCUGUGUUAAAGGAGCUGAAAGGCUCCGCGCACGGAUGGACCUGCGGUGCAUUAGCUGGUUGGUGAGGUAACGGCCCACCAAGGCGACGAUGCAUAGCCGGCCUGAGAGGGCGGACGGCCACACUGGGACUGAGACACGGCCCAGACUCCUACGGGAGGCAGCAGUAGGGAAUUUUCGUCAAUGGGCGCAAGCCUGAACGAGCAAUGCCGCGUGAACGAGGAAGGUCUUCGGAUCGUAAAGUUCUGUUGAAGGGGAAAAAGAGCGGAGAGAGGAAAUGGUCUCCGAUUGAUAUUACCCUUCGAGGAAGUCACGGCUAACUACGUGCCAGCAGCCGCGGUAAUACGUAGGUGGCGAGCGUUAUCCGGAAUGAUUGGGCGUAAAGGGUGCGUAGGCGGCCUGCUAAGUCUGGAGUGAAAGGUACCGGCUCAACCGGUACAGGCUCUGGAAACUGGCGGGCUAGAGAGCAGGAGAGGGCGGUGGAACUCCAUGUGUAGCGGUAAAAUGCGUAGAUAUAUGGAAGAACACCAGUGGCGAAGGCGGCCGCCUGGCCUGUUACUGACGCUGAGGCACGAAAGCGUGGGGAGCAAACAGGAUUAGAUACCCUGGUAGUCCACGCGGUAAACGAUGA
This 757-nucleotide ribosomal RNA is filed under the name uncultured bacterium. RNAcentral describes it as "bacterial SSU rRNA". It matches the Rfam family "Bacterial small subunit ribosomal RNA", at positions 61 to 812 of the family's 1533-position model. The record is from RNAcentral.